UACAGAGGGUGCAAGCGUUAAUCGGAAUUACUGGGCGUAAAGCGUGCGUAGUCGGUUAUCUAAGUCGGGUGUGAAAUCCCCGGGCUCAACCUGGGAAUUGCAUUCGAUACUGGAUAGCUAGAGUUCGGCAGAGGGAAGCGGAAUUUCCGGUGUAGCGGUGAAAUGCGUAGAUAUCGGAAGGAACAUCAGUGGCGAAAGCGGCUUCCUGGACCAGAACUGACGAUCAGGCACGAAAGCGUGGGGAGCAAGCAGG
This 253-nucleotide ribosomal RNA is filed under the name uncultured bacterium. RNAcentral describes it as "partial 16S ribosomal RNA". It matches the Rfam family "Bacterial small subunit ribosomal RNA", at positions 524 to 776 of the family's 1533-position model. The record is from RNAcentral.